UUGAAACACCAGUUCCUGUAUGAUCACUGAAGUUAAGCACCAUUGAGCUUAGUCAGUAUUUAGAUGGGUGUCUGCUUUGGAAUUCCAGGUGCUGUG
Molecule: non-coding RNA, 96 nt
Organism: Acanthosepion pharaonis
Lineage: Eukaryota; Metazoa; Mollusca; Cephalopoda; Sepiida; Sepiidae
Source: the annotation of a GenBank genome assembly